GAGCCCAUUCUCCCGUGACGGUGACUCCAACGGUUGGCUGAGGACGAUUCCCUGAGCCUUGACAAAGCAGGAGCCCUCCGUGGCGGUGCGUCGGUGUCGAGGCUCCAGUCUGACUAAUCCAGGGGGUCGACAAAACAGAUUCGGGACACUAUGCUACACGGAGGGCCUACCAGGAUGCAGAAACAGCAGACGGAGUCCAGGGAAAGCAGUGCGGCAUCCCAGCCUCAGGCCUGCCCGUACGGUGUUCGGACGGAAUGAAGUUGAUAAUAGUGAGACCUUGUUGGUACAAGACUAUGUAACAUAACCUGCGCUUCUCAACAAAGAAUUGCUUUUCUGACUUCUGCACUCAACUACUCAACAUGAAGGCAAUAAGAAUGAAGACCUCUAUGUAUAAUAAUUGACUUCCACUUAAUAAAUAAGGUUACUUGGUACACUGGUCGACAAAACCUUGAAAUGUUGAUGUUUAAGGGCUGUUGAUUGCUGGCAGCAAAGAAGUCCAACUGUGCUGGUACCCGAGAUAGCGUCUCCACAUUUUCUUCCAGGAUCAUCACCUUUGUUCUAAAUAGCUCCCACAUAGUGUGAACAGAAGUCAUAUGUUUUAGAUUUUCUGCCUUGGCACCCAGGAAACCAGUAUGAUUGAGUAAACAUAUUAAACUUCCUCUGCAUUUCCAGCCUGAACAGAUGUUGAGUACAAGCUGAUCCACCUACGUUCAACCUGAGAGAGUCCACAUCCACAGACUGUUUCAUUUCCCUUUUUCAAUUUACAUAGAAGCAUAGAUUCUUGCUGGCAUAUACAAAUGCGCCAUUUAAGGCAAUCAAAAAUGGUUCCACAUCUCAUCUGAUUUCCACAAUUGUUGCUGUAACGAUGGACUACUGAGGAGAGAGACAAUUUCUCUGGCACAUCUUCCCACAUUUUAGCAACAUGUUCAUGGAGAGCCAAUAUUCAGUAAUUACAGCCCAAUUCCUCACAAUUUCACAAUUCGCUAACAAUAUGCAUUUUCACAAUGUAAAGCUGAUUUUCCUUUAACCAAAUCAAACAUGAAAAGAUAGCUGCAUGCAAUGGGCAAUCUAGAUCAUUAGAAGAUUGAUGUAAAAUUAGAGGACACUGAGACUGGAAUAGAUUGCAAACUUCAGGGAGCUCAGAAAACUUGUAAACUCUACAUUUUGAGGAAAUAUGUUGUCGAUGCUUUUGCAACUCUAUGCAGUAACUUAACAAAUAAAGCCUUAAAGUAAC
This 1234-nucleotide long non-coding RNA is filed under the name Homo sapiens (human). Its description in RNAcentral is "MIR663A host gene". The record is from RNAcentral. Lineage: Eukaryota; Metazoa; Chordata; Mammalia; Primates; Hominidae.